Molecule: long non-coding RNA, 604 nt
Filed under: Equus caballus (horse)
Lineage: Eukaryota; Metazoa; Chordata; Mammalia; Perissodactyla; Equidae
Description: lncRNA (ENSECAG00000053985.1)
Source: RNAcentral
CCUCACUGCAGUUAAAAGGAGAAAUCAAACUGGUGUCUGUUGUAUGAGGCGAUAAGAGUUUUUAAUCAGACACACAGCUUAUUUAUUUUUUUCAGAAAUAUAGGAGGGAAGGAUCCUUCUAGAGAAAUGUUACUGCAAUAACCUUGACACUAAUUACUAAAUAUUAAACGAACAUUUUAAUAUUAAGAGUGCAAUAGAAAUGUGCAGCUGGUUAUACCUGGGUGAAAUGUCCUCUACAUUCUAUGACUGUUUGUUAUACAUCUCCUAGCAAAGAUGACACUCCUGGUAUGAUAUUUACCAAGCUUGAGAAAUUUCUCAGGAAUAAAGAAGAUGCGUGCAUUGAAUUGAAAAAUGGGAAAAAAUAUGGAACUAUCACAAAAGCCCAGGACAAAUUACCAGAGCAAGUUGGGAGAUUCCAGUCCUCUCUGUUGGGCAUAUUGGCAAGAAGUUGGCACUCUCAUCAAAGAAUCCUCCUGGAGAUCGUAUGGCUGUGUUUCCUCUCACCUGGCAGAGCUGCGAGUCUGCUUUCUGGGAAUCCUGUGGGACCUAAGACUGUCCUUCAGAUGUCUAAAUCCAUUUUGAUAAAAUAAUGCAGAAAUAAACC